AGCAGCCGCGGUAAUUCCAGCUCCAAUAGCGUAUAUUAAAGUUGCUGCAGUUAAAAAGCUCGUAGUUGAAUUUCGGGACUAAUAUGUCGGUCGUGCCUCGGUACGUACUGGUAUUUUGGUUUCUCCCUUCUGACGAACCUUGAUGUCAUUAAUUUGGUGUCUUGGGAAAUCAGGACUGUUACUUUGAAAAAAUUAGAGUGUUUAAAGCAGGUUCACGCUUGAAUACAUUAGCAUGGAAUAAUGAAAUAGGACGUUUGAUUCUAUUUUGUUGGUUUCUAGGAUUGACGUAAUGAUUAAUAGGGAUAGUUGGGGGCAUUAGUAUUCAAUUGUCAGAGGUGAAAUUCUUGGAUUUAUUGAAGACUAACUACUGCGAAAGCAUUUGCCAAGGGUGUUUUCAUUAAUCAAGAACGAAAGUUAGGGGAUCGAAGACGAUCAGAUACCGUCGUAGUCUUAACCAUAAACUAUGCCGACUAGGGAUCGGAUGAUGUUAAUUUUUAAUGACUCAUUCGGCGCCUUACGG
RNAcentral lists this ribosomal RNA (520 nucleotides) under uncultured Glomus. Its description in RNAcentral is "SSU rRNA". It matches the Rfam family "Eukaryotic small subunit ribosomal RNA", at positions 569 to 1093 of the family's 1831-position model. Lineage: Eukaryota; Fungi; Glomeromycota; Glomeromycetes; Glomerales; Glomeraceae. The record is from RNAcentral.